UACGAAGGGGGCAAGCGUUGUUCGGAAUCACUGGGCGUAAAGCGCGCGUAGGCGGAUUGUUAAGUCAGGGGUGAAAGCCCGAGGCUCAACCUCGGAAUUGCCUUUGAUACUGACAAUCUGGAGUCCGGGAGAGGUGAGUGGAACUCCUAGUGUAGAGGUGAAAUUCGUAGAUAUUAGGAAGAACACCAGUGGCGAAGGCGGCUCACUGGCCCGGUACUGACGCUGAUGCGCGAAAGCGUGGGGAGCAAACAGG
Molecule: ribosomal RNA, 253 nt
Filed under: uncultured bacterium
Lineage: Bacteria
Description: partial 16S ribosomal RNA
Rfam family: Bacterial small subunit ribosomal RNA
Source: RNAcentral